This 377-nucleotide ribosomal RNA is filed under the name uncultured eukaryote. RNAcentral's name for it is "partial 18S ribosomal RNA". It matches the Rfam family "Eukaryotic small subunit ribosomal RNA", at positions 592 to 976 of the family's 1831-position model. The record is from RNAcentral.
CAAUAGCGUAUAUUUAGGUUGCUGCAGUUAAAAAGCUCGUAGUUGGAUUUCGGGUGGGAAUGGCCGGUCCGCCGUUUCGGUGUGCACUUGCUACGCCCACCUUGCUGCCGGGGACGUGCUCUUGAGUUCACGCUCGGGACACGGAGUCGGCGAGGUUACUUUGAGUAAAUUAGAGUGUUCAAAGCAGGCCUACGCUCUGAAUACAUUAGCAUGGAAUAACACGAUAGGACUCUGGCCUAUCUUGUUGGUCUGUAGGACCGGAGUAAUGAUUAAGAGGGACAGUCGGGGGCACUCGUAUUUCAUUGUCAGAGGUGAAAUUCUUGGAUUUACGAAAGACGAACUACUGCGAAAGCAUUUGCCAAGGAUGUUUUCAUUAA